Molecule: ribosomal RNA, 250 nt
Filed under: uncultured bacterium
Lineage: Bacteria
Description: partial 16S ribosomal RNA
Rfam family: Bacterial small subunit ribosomal RNA
Source: RNAcentral
UACGUAGGGUGCAAGCGUUGUCCGGAUUUAUUGGGUUUAAAGGGUGCGUAGGCGGCCUGUUAAGUCAGUGGUGAAAUCCAACAGCUCAACUGUUGAUGUGCCAAUGAUACUGACAGGCUUGAGUACAGACGAGGUAGGCGGAAUUGACAGUGUAGCGGUGAAAUGCAUAGAUAUUGUCAAGAACACCGAUAGCGAAGGCAGCUUGCUAGCCUGUAACUGACGCUGAGGCACGAAAGUAUGGGGAUCAAAC